UAUAUAUAUCUCGAUAAAAGCGAUAAUGUUAUUUUCUAUAUCAUCAAAAUAGAAAACUUGAUAGAUCUUGAAUCACGAUAUAUUGCCCAGCUCUACUACAGUGAACUCCAGUGUAUUUGUUAUGUCAGUGUCUAUUAUGAUGUUGUCUAUAGAUGACUAACAUUGCACCAAUGGAAGUUAAUGAGCCACCACAAGAAAUAACUUGACUUUAUUUAUUCUUUUAUUUGUAACCUAGUUAUUCUUGCCUGUAGGUUGUUGUCAUCCCAAGGAUCAAAUUGGAUUUUCUGAUGGGUCAAAUUUGGCCAACAAACCUUAUUUUGGACACUCGUUUUCAUCUGGUUCAUCUGUAUAAAAGUUAUUAAUACUUACUACAUAACAGUUAACAAAACCAUCAUAGGCUAGCUUUGGAAACGCCUCCCAUAGGCGGAAGCCUUCCUAUUGGUCACUUACUCUAAGCCCCACCUUAUCACACACACACGCAGAGCUCUUGUCUUCUCAUUGGUUAAUGUGGCUGCUCGUCAUGCUGCGUACGUGUUGGGCGUCGGCGGUGAGUUUUCCGUUUGCUCUGUGAUUGGCUGCUGGUCAGCGGUGACGUCACAGUCCUGCCAGCUGAUCGCAGUGAGAAGCCGGUUUGAAGAAGGGCCGGAGAGAGGAGCGGUUUUAAAGCGUAACACGGGGGAAGCAGGAGGCGGCGGUCCCCAUCGGGCUGAACUUGCGGUGUUUCCUUUGAAAGUGUCUGGAGACAAAAUGACAGAAGAGAGAGUUAAGGUGUGGCUGAGGCUUUUCUCUUCAUGUUAAACCCUGAAUUAGAUCAGAAAACCCUUCAAGAGCCAACCAUUCAUCAGCAUAUACUCCUCCAUCUAUCGUAUCUCAAAGAGGACAUUCACACCGUUUCAUUUUGAAGACAUUACAUAACUAAUGUAAAGCCAUUUUGAUGCGCGCACCUUUUUUUUUCGUCUUCUUCUUUUGUUUUGUUUUUUUCCUCCACCCGAUCUGGGCUUUAAAUGAACUGUCAAUUCGCACAGCCAACGUGUUCCUUUUGGUAAUUUCACAGCGUGUGUGUGUGUGUGUGCUUUCAUAAGUCAGUGCAUUUGGGCGGACGUGGCAACUUUACAGUAGACAGCAGCAGUAGCAGCAAUGAGUGCUACAGGCAAACAGGGCGUGGGGUAGAACCGGGCUAAUAAUCCUCAGAUGUCUCCCAUGCUCGCUCCAUAUCAGCCUUUUCUCUUGUCCACAGUGACCAAUGAUGGCUUGAAUCGCUGGAUUAACGCCAAACAAAAGUAAGAGCGCUUGUCUGGUACAUUUUUGCAAACUUUUUUUCAGUCGAGGUGACGUUUAAAAGCUGCAGAAAGGAUCGGACAGCUGUGACACCACAGAGGUUUUUUUUUGUUUUUU
This 1395-nucleotide long non-coding RNA is filed under the name Gouania willdenowi (blunt-snouted clingfish). RNAcentral describes it as "lncRNA (ENSGWIG00000020227.1)". The record is from RNAcentral. Lineage: Eukaryota; Metazoa; Chordata; Actinopteri; Blenniiformes; Gobiesocidae.